AGCGCAGGCGGUUUUGUAAGACAGUGGUGAAAUCCCCGGGCUCAACCUGGGAACUGCCAUUGUGACUGCAAAGCUAGAGUGCGGCAGAGGGGGAGUGGAAUUCCGCGUGUAGCAGUGAAAUGCGUAGAUAUGCGGAGGAACACCGAUGGCGAAGGCAAUCCCCUGGGCCUGCACUGACGCUCAUGCACGAAAGCGUGGGGAGCAAACA
This 208-nucleotide ribosomal RNA is filed under the name uncultured bacterium. Its description in RNAcentral is "partial 16S ribosomal RNA". It matches the Rfam family "Bacterial small subunit ribosomal RNA", at positions 568 to 774 of the family's 1533-position model. The record is from RNAcentral.